AUGCCGAAGCAUAUGUUGAAAGGAGGCGUCGCCGACGACGGUUCCAAGACCGCUGAGCAGAGCUCGGCUGAGGACACCCGUGCGGCAGACACGCUCGCGCUGCGAGGCAGGCCGGGAGGUGAGCUGGGUGCGCCGUGCUCCGUGCGAGAUGUGGGCAUGUCCAGUACCUCCUUCCCUGUCCUCACGCGGACCAACUAUCCCAGUUGGUCCAUCCUGAUGAAAGUCAUCAUGGAGGCGCAACAUAUGUGGGAAGCCGUGGAAACCGGCGAUGUCGAGUACGAGGAGGACCGGCUAGCGAUGGAGGCGAUCUUGCGCUCCGUCCCAGAGGAGAUGGUGCUCACCCUUGGCGCCAAGGAGACGGCCAAGGAAGCAUGGGACACCAUCAAGACUCUGCGCAUUGGCGUGGAGCGCGUACGGGAGUCGAAGGCCCAGACCUUGUGCCUCCAGUACGAGGAGAUCCGAUUCAAGGCCGGUGAGCAAGUCGACGACUUCGCCUUGCAGCUGCAAGGUCUCGUCAACGAGCUCGCAACACUAGGAGAUCACAUCGACAACAAGAUGGUGAUUCUCAAGUUCCUCCGCGUCGUCCCCAGGCAGUACAAGCAACUGGCCUGGUCCAUCGAGAGUUUGGUGGAUCUCUCCACCAUGACGAUCGAGGAGCUGGUAGGGCGGCUGAAGGUCAUCGAGGAGCGCGGCGACGAAGCCGACAACCGUGCUGGCGGCGAACUACUGCUCACCAGGGAGCAGUGGGACGCGCAGCUUCAGCAGCGCGGCCGCGACGGCUCUUCCAGAAGUGGGAGAGGCGCCCCCACGGGAAGCAGAGGUCACGGCAGAGGCGGAGGCCGUGCCCAGAGCGGCGGCGGCAACCGCGGUCGCAAGCCAAGCCAGGCAGGGCGAGGCGCUAGCAACGGUGGCAAGUGCCGCUACUGCAACAUGUCGGGUCACUGGAUCCGGGAUUGCCGCAGGAGGAAAGCCGAUGAGGCAGCCGCGGCAACGACAAACCUCGUCCAAGAUGACGUGGACGGUGGGCCAGCAAUGAUGCUGGCAAGAGUCGAGCCCGUGCAAGAGAGCACAACGUCUCUCGCGACCACGGCUCCGACAACCACCCAUUCCGUGUAG
Molecule: ribosomal RNA, 1116 nt
Filed under: Triticum aestivum (bread wheat)
Lineage: Eukaryota; Viridiplantae; Streptophyta; Magnoliopsida; Poales; Poaceae
Description: partial small subunit ribosomal RNA
Source: RNAcentral